GGAGGCACUUCUCGUCUGGUGACGGGCCUGGUCUUCAAAAUCAGUCGGGCCGCGGCGGGAGCCGGGGCCGGUGGGUUCGAUUCCCAUGUGCCUCCG
This 96-nucleotide transfer RNA is filed under the name Acidobacteriota bacterium. RNAcentral's name for it is "tRNA-Sec". It matches the Rfam family "Selenocysteine transfer RNA". RNAcentral also lists the same sequence under 1 other name. Lineage: Bacteria; Pseudomonadati; Acidobacteriota. The record is from RNAcentral.